CCUACGGGAGGCAGCAGUGAGGAAUAUUGGUCAAUGGCCGCAGGGCUGAACCAGCCAAGUCGCGUGAGGGAUGACGGUCCUAUGGAUUGUAAACCUCUUUUGUCAGGGAGCAAAGGGCGCCACGUGUGGCGUUUUGCGAGUACCUGAAGAAAAAGCAUCGGCUAACUCCGUGCCAGCAGCCGCGGUAAUACGGAGGAUGCGAGCGUUAUCCGGAUUUAUUGGGUUUAAAGGGAGCGUAGGCCGCAUGUCAAGCGUGCUGUGAAAUGUCCGGGCUCAACCCGGGCCUUGCAGCGCGAACUGGCGUGCGUGAGUCCGCGGAAAGCAGGCGGAAUUCGUCGUGUAGCGGUGAAAUGCUUAGAUAUGACGAAGAACCCCGAUUGCGAAGGCAGCUUGCUGCAGCGGAACUGACGCUGAUGCUCGAAAGCGCGGGUAUCGAACAGGAUUAGAUACCCUUGUAGUC
Molecule: ribosomal RNA, 460 nt
Filed under: uncultured bacterium
Lineage: Bacteria
Description: partial 16S ribosomal RNA
Rfam family: Bacterial small subunit ribosomal RNA
Source: RNAcentral